This is a non-coding RNA of Schizosaccharomyces pombe (fission yeast), 1286 nucleotides long. Lineage: Eukaryota; Fungi; Ascomycota; Schizosaccharomycetes; Schizosaccharomycetales; Schizosaccharomycetaceae. The record is from the annotation of a GenBank genome assembly.
AGGUGUGGAAAUGUAACCCCUUUCGCACGAGGUUAUGCGCAAAAAAGAAUGCCAAACAUGCGUUACUAAUUAUAGCUCCCUAGGAAUUCUUAAAUUAUUUAAUGCUGAAUAAACCUUCUAUAUCUCUAAUAGAAUAACCUGAACUAAUAGCAAGCAUAAGCAUGUACCGAGCUUUUUGUGGAUUAAGGAAAUAAGAAGGAAUGCCAAGGCAAGAGUUACUUGAAUAUCCUUCCGCAGUCCGAUGACUGUACACUACUGGAAUAUUGUGUUCCCGUAUUAACGAGCUGAUAACUUCAUUACCAUCAUCAGUCCAUGAAGUUGCUCCCAUAGCAGCCAAAACCAAGCCUUUGGCCCCCAGAUGGACUGCUGAUUCAGCAAGUUUGGGAUUCAAUCCUUGAUAUCCAUAUAAGAUGUCUACUCGUGGUAGUUGUUUAAUGUUAUAAAUGUCAAAGAACACUUUACCGGUUGGAACAGCUGGACUAAAAAAGUAAAAUGGUUUUUGAUUAAGAACUAUCCCAAGAGAUCCAGCUUCAUAAGAUUUAAAUGUGUCAAGCGUAUUUCCAUUCGUUUUCGUAGUGUAAAAUGCAGAUCCAAUCCGGUCAUUUAAUAAAACUAAAGUGCCCCUUCCCAUAGAUUGAUUGGAAGAUGCCACAGCAACAGCGUUUAACAAAUUCAUAGGGCCGUCUGCGCCUAUAGCCGUAGAUGGUCUCAUUGCUCCAACUACAACAAUUGGUUUUGCAGUACUGAUGGUCAGAUCAAGAAACAUUGCUGUUUCUUCCAGGGAGUCGGUACCGUGUGUAAUGACGAUACCAUGAACAUUCGGUUUUGCAACUUCGGCUAAAAUCAAUUUAGCUAGUUUUAGGACAUCAGCAGGUGUUAAAUUUUCGCUUCCCAUAUUAGUUACCUGUACUCCAUUAAUGUUUGCAAUUGCCUUGAUCGCUGGAACCGCCUCAAUCAAUUUUUCAAUUCCUACCGAACCGGGAAUGUAAUUGACAAUCUCAAGACUUGAAUUUGCGCAUCCAGCGAUUGUACCACCCAUUGCAAAAACUGUAACAUUGGGAAGCAAGGCAUUAUAAGGAGUGGAUUUUGAUUUGCGUUUACUCAGUAAACGCAAUUGGCAUAGUAACACUAGAAAAAUCCCACAAGUUACUAUGAAUCCCCACAUCUCCUUACUUGGAAGCGCAGAUAGGAAACGGAACUAACCAUUAAAAAUUUCUUAUCUUUCAUAUUCUUUUUUAGUGUAUGGUAUCGUUAAACGUCGUGACUGCUUUUUCGGAGCAGCGCAU